UUAAGUUCCUUCUUCUGCCACAUUAGUCCUGUGCAACUCCAGAACUAUUGGAAAGGCAGAGAUGGAGGCUGCUUGUGUUCUGCAAAUUUUUCCUGAAACUGGAUCAAUACAUCCUGAAAUAAUCUGAUUCCCAGCAAGGAUCUCUUUUGUUAGUGCUUGCCAUCAUUCUAUCCAUUUCAAACUG
Long non-coding RNA from Pantherophis guttatus, 184 nucleotides. RefSeq lists it as uncharacterized. NCBI's taxonomy places the organism in Eukaryota, Metazoa, Chordata, Lepidosauria, Squamata, Colubridae. The record is from RefSeq and is a predicted model, not a curated record.